AACGAACGCUGGCGGCAUGCCUAACACAUGCAAGUCGAACGAGACCUUCGGGUCUAGUGGCGCACGGGUGCGUAACGCGUGGGAACCUGCCCUUAGGUUCGGAAUAACUCCCCGAAAGGGGUGCUAAUACCGGAUAAUGUCUUCGGACCAAAGAUUUAUCGCCUUUGGAUGGGCCCGCGUUGGAUUAGCUAGUUGGUAGGGUAAAGGCCUACCAAGGCUACGAUCCAUAGCUGGUCUGAGAGGAUGAUCAGCCACACUGGGACUGAGACACGGCCCAGACUCCUACGGGAGGCAGCAGUGGGGAAUAUUGGACAAUGGGCGAAAGCCUGAUCCAGCAAUGCCGCGUGAGUGAUGAAGGCCUUAGGGUUGUAAAGCUCUUUUACCCGGGAUGACAAUGACAGUACCGGGAGAAUAAGCUCCGGCUAACUCCGU
This 432-nucleotide ribosomal RNA is filed under the name uncultured bacterium. Its description in RNAcentral is "partial 16S ribosomal RNA". It matches the Rfam family "Bacterial small subunit ribosomal RNA", at positions 29 to 506 of the family's 1533-position model. The record is from RNAcentral.